AUGUAUUUAAAUGAGUAGUUAUUGUUGCAAACUCCAUUAGAAAUUUUAAUUGAGAUUAGUUUUGGAAUAAGGGAAAGGGGGAUGUGAUUAAAAAAAUUGGGUUCAAUUUUUCUCAUUUGAAAUUUCAUAAAUAAAAAAAAAAAAUUUCUUCAAACAUUUUUUUGAGAGGAUUAAUAUUCAACAGCAUAGUGAAUUGCUCUAAGAGAAAACAAAAAUUUUAUGUUCAUUAGAACACAUUUAUUCUGUGUCAGAAACCUAUGCUGUGUCAACUAUUUAAUCACAAUCCAAAUUUAGAGCUGAAUCCAGCUUGAAUGUU
This 316-nucleotide long non-coding RNA is filed under the name Mytilus galloprovincialis (Mediterranean mussel). The record is from RNAcentral. Lineage: Eukaryota; Metazoa; Mollusca; Bivalvia; Mytilida; Mytilidae.